RNAcentral lists this ribosomal RNA (497 nucleotides) under uncultured bacterium. Its description in RNAcentral is "partial 16S ribosomal RNA". It matches the Rfam family "Bacterial small subunit ribosomal RNA", at positions 28 to 507 of the family's 1533-position model. The record is from RNAcentral.
GAUGAACGCUGGCGGCGUGCCUAAUACAUGCAAGUCGAGCGAACGGACGAGAAGCUUGCUUCUCUGAUGUUAGCGGCGGACGGGUGAGUAACACGUGGAUAACCUACCUAUAAGACUGGGAUAACUUCGGGAAACCGGAGCUAAUACCGGAUAAUAUUUUGAACCGCAUGGUUCAAAAGUGAAAGACGGUCUUGCUGUCACUUAUAGAUGGAUCCGCGCUGCAUUAGCAAGUUGGUAAGGUAACGGCUUACCAAGGCAACGAUGCAUAGCCGACCUGAGAGGGUGAUCGGCCACACUGGGACUGAGACACGGUCCAGACUCCUACGGGAGGCAGCAGUAGGGAAUCUUCCGCAAUGGGCGAAAGCCUGACGGAGCAACGCCGCGUGAGUGAUGAAGGUCUUCGGAUCGUAAAACUCUGUUAUUAGGGAAGAACAUAUGUGUAAGUAACUGUGCACAUCUUGACGGUACCUAAUCAGAAAGCCACGGCUAACUACGUG